Molecule: ribosomal RNA, 1473 nt
Filed under: uncultured bacterium
Lineage: Bacteria
Description: bacterial SSU rRNA
Rfam family: Bacterial small subunit ribosomal RNA
Source: RNAcentral
CCCUUAGAGUUUGAUCCUGGCUCAGGACGAACGCUGGCGGCGUGCCUAAAACAUGCAAGUCGAACGGUGUAGCAAUACACAGUGGCGAACGGCGGAGUAAUACAUAAGCAACGUGCCCUGAAGACUGGGAUAGUCAGAGGAAACUCUGGGUAAUACCAGAUGUGGUCAUCAUCCGGCAUCGGGAGAUGAUUAAAUGGUUUUUCGCUUCAGGAGCGGCUUAUGGCCUAUCAGGUAGUUGGUGGGGUAAUGGCCUACCAAGCCGACGACGGGUAGCGGGUCUGAGAGGAUGAUCCGCUCGAGUGGGACUGAGACACGGCCCACACACCUACGGGUGGCAGCAGUUGGGAAUCUUGCACAAUGGGGGAAACCCUGAUGCAGCGACGCCGCGUGGAGGAUGAAGGAUCUAGGUCUGUAAACUCCUUUUUCAGGGAAAGACUUAGGACGGUACCCUGAGAAUAAGGACCGGCUAACUACGUGCCAGCAGCCGCGGUAAGACGUAGGGUCCAAGCGUUGUCCGGAUUUACUGGGCGUAAAGAGCGCGUAGGCGGUCUGUUAAGUGUGAAGUGAAAUCUCCAGGGCUCAACCCGGAAACUGCUUUACAUACUGGCAGACUGGAGUGAUGCAGAGGUUUGUGGAAUUCCUGGUGUAACGGUGAAAUGUGUUGAUAUCAGGAGGAACACCCAUGGCGAAGGCAGCAAACUGGGCAUUAACUGACGCUGAGGCGCGAAAGCGUGGGUAGCAAACAGGAUUAGAUACCCUGGUAGUCCAUGCCCUAAACGAUGGAUACUAGGCGUAAGAGGUAUCGACCCCUCUUGUGCCGCAGCUAACGCAUUAAGUAUCCCGCCUGGGGAGUACGGCCGCAAGGUUGAAACUCAAAUGAAUUGACGGGGACCCGCACAAGCGGUGGAGCAUGUGGAUUAAUUCGAUGCAACGCGAAAAACCUUACCUACCCUUGACAUGGCUGGAACCUCCGAGAGAUCGGGGGGUGCCCGAAAGGGAACCAGUACACAGGUGCUGCAUGGCUGUCGUCAGCUCGUGUCGUGAGAUGUUGGGUUAAGUCCCGCAACGAGCGCAACCCUUGUCAUUAGUUGCUACGAAAGGGCACUCUAAUGAGACUGCCGGUGACAAACCGGAGGAAGGUGGGGAUGACGUCAAGUCCUCAUGGCCCUUAUGGGUAGGGCUUCACACGUCAUACAAUGGUACAUACAGAGGGCCGCCAACCCGCGAGGGGGAGCUAAUCCCAGAAAGUGUAUCGUAGUCCGGAUUGUAGUCUGCAACUCGACUGCAUGAAGUUGGAAUCGCUAGUAAUCGCGGAUCAGCAUGUCGCGGUGAAUACGUUCCCGGGUCUUGUACACACCGCCCGUCACACCAUGGGAGCGGGUUUUACCAGAAGUAGGUAGCUUAACCGCAAGGAGGGCGCUUACCACGGUAGGAUUCGUGACUGGGGUGAAGUCGUAACAAGGUAACCAAGGG